GGAUGAACGCUGGCGGCGUGCCUAAUACAUGCAAGUCGAGCGAACAGAUAAGGAGCUUGCUCCUUUGACGUUAGCGGCGGACGGGUGAGUAACACGUGGGUAACCUACCUAUAAGACUGGAAUAACUCCGGGAAACCGGGGCUAAUGCCGGAUAACAUGUUGAACCGCAUGGUUCUACAGUGAAAGACGGUCUUGCUGUCACUUAUAGAUGGACCCGCGCCGUAUUAGCUAGUUGGUGGGGUAACGGCCUACCAAGGCGACGAUACGUAGCCGACCUGAGAGGGUGAUCGGCCACACUGGAACUGAGACACGGUCCAGACUCCUACGGGAGGCAGCAGUAGGGAAUCUUCCGCAAUGGGCGAAAGCCUGACGGAGCAACGCCGCGUGAGUGAUGAAGGUCUUCGGAUCGUAAAGCUCUGUUGUUAGGGAAGAACAAAUGUGUAAGUAACUGUGCACAUCUUGACGGUACCUAACCAGAAAGCCACGGCUAACUACGUGCCAGCAGCCGCGGUAAUACGUAGGUGGCAAGCGUUAUCCGGAAUUAUUGGGCGUAAAGCGCGCGUAGGCGGUUUUUUAAGUCUGAUGUGAAAGCCCACGGCUCAACCGUGGAGGGUCAUUGGAAACUGGAAAACUUGAGUGCAGAAGAGGAAAGUGGAAUUCCAUGUGUAGCGGUGAAAUGCGCAGAGAUAUGGAGGAACACCAGUGGCGAAGGCGGCUUUCUGGUCUGCAACUGACGCUGAUGUGCGAAAGCGUGGGGAUCAAACAGGAUUAGAUACCCUGGUAGUCCACGCCGUAA
Molecule: ribosomal RNA, 796 nt
Filed under: Staphylococcus pseudintermedius
Lineage: Bacteria; Bacillati; Bacillota; Bacilli; Caryophanales; Staphylococcaceae
Description: bacterial SSU rRNA
Rfam family: Bacterial small subunit ribosomal RNA
Source: RNAcentral